UGCCAUUGUGCCUUUUCAUUCAUCGAUCGAAUGCAUAUCGAACCUUCUGUCGGUGCAUGUGUGAAACAGAUAGCUUAGCCAGCAUUUUUCUUCCACCGAAAGAGGCAAUUAACAAACAAAUCAAGAAAAUAAAAUGAGAGACACAGGGACGAAGACACUCGCUGUCCAUAUGACGCUGAGACCUAGAGGACGGAGGACAAAACCACAGCAGAAAGUGAGCAAAUUCAAAGGCAAAGGAAGGAAAGAGAUCAGCCAAGUGAGAAGACAAUGUCAUUGUUGUCAGGACGCAGAAAAUCAAUGCCGUAAAAGCAAAGAGGAAAAAAAAUGAGAUCUGCUCUGGGAAGAGACAAGCACUCACAAUAAAGAACAAUUUUACCGCAGCUCUCUCGGAUAUGAGCAGACAGCAGAAUUAAAUAAAACAUUUGCUCUUUUACAUAGAAUUUGCAGCUCGAUUCUUCGGAGGGAUUAAUUAAAUUGUUGGAAAGGCUUUGCCUUGCAGACACAUUGUGGAUUUUAUUUAUAAGGUUUACAAAGCUUUCAGUUCUCUAUAUGUUGUAGCCUAUAUGUAUGUAAAUUGCAAACAGAAUUAGCUACA
This is a long non-coding RNA of Myxocyprinus asiaticus (Chinese sucker), 595 nucleotides long. RefSeq lists it as uncharacterized. The record is from RefSeq and is a predicted model, not a curated record. The transcript is spliced from 3 exons. NCBI's taxonomy places the organism in Eukaryota, Metazoa, Chordata, Actinopteri, Cypriniformes, Catostomidae.